CGGGCUGUUGCAAGGCCCCCAGAGCGGCUGCACUCCCUGGGGCACUGGCCAGUGCUUCCCUCCGCACACCUGCAGCCUACCCAGUGGGUGCAGCCCAGCCCCGAUCCCCAAGGCCGACAGUCCUGCAUCAUGGGACCAGAAGAAGCCAGCCUCCCUGUUUCCAGUGAGAAACCACAGCCCAUGUGGUCUUCAUAGAGCAGGGAGGAAGUCCCUCCCACCGAGGGUGGUCUCUGGAAACGAGCUCAGGCCAGUUCUGCACAGAUCAGGCAUAGCUUGCAGGAACCAAAGCAAUCCCGACGAGCAAGGAGGAGUGAGGGAAGGAAUCCAAGAACAAGCGAAGCAGAAGUGACAAGAUCUUGGAGGAGGGUGGCAGGAGAUCAUUUAAAAGACAGCCAGCGUAUGGCCCA
RNAcentral lists this long non-coding RNA (407 nucleotides) under Felis catus (domestic cat). RNAcentral describes it as "lncRNA (ENSFCAG00000051825.1)". Lineage: Eukaryota; Metazoa; Chordata; Mammalia; Carnivora; Felidae. The record is from RNAcentral.